Molecule: ribosomal RNA, 726 nt
Filed under: uncultured bacterium
Lineage: Bacteria
Description: bacterial SSU rRNA
Rfam family: Bacterial small subunit ribosomal RNA
Source: RNAcentral
AAGUUUCCUUCGGGAAACGGAUUAGCGGCGGACGGGUGAGUAACACGUGGGCAACCUACCUCAUAGAGGGGAAUAGCCUUCCGAAAGGGAGAUUAAUACCGCAUAACAUUUUUGAUUGGCAUCAAUCGGAAAUCAAAGGAGCAAUCCGCUAUGAGAUGGGCCCGCGUCGCAUUAGUUAGUUGGUGGGGUAAAGGCCUACCAAGACGACGAUGCGUAGCCGACCUGAGAGGGUGAUCGGCCACAUUGGGACUGAGACACGGCCCAGACUCCUACGGGAGGCAGCAGUGGGGAAUAUUGCACAAUGGAGGAAACUCUGAUGCAGCAACGCCGCGUGAGCGAUGAAGGUCUUCGGAUCGUAAAGCUCUGUCUUUAGGGAUGAUAAUGACAGUACCUAAGGAGGAAGCCACGGCUAACUACGUGCCAGCAGCCGCGGUAAUACGUAGGUGGCGAGCGUUAUCCGGAAUUAUUGGGCGUAAAGGGAGCGUAGGCGGAUACUUAAGUGGGAUGUGAAAGACUUGGGCUCAACCCAAGGGCUGCAUUCCAAACUGAGUAUCUAGAGUGCAGGAGAGGAGAGUGGAAUUCCUAGUGUAGCGGUGAAAUGCGUAGAGAUUAGGAAGAACACCAGUGGCGAAGGCGACUCUCUGGACUGUAACUGACGCCGAGGCUCGAAAGCGUGGGGAGCAAACAGGAUUAGAUACCCUGGUAGUCCACGCCGUAAACGAUGAA